Molecule: long non-coding RNA, 852 nt
Organism: Lingula anatina
Lineage: Eukaryota; Metazoa; Brachiopoda; Lingulata; Lingulida; Lingulidae
Source: RefSeq, a predicted model, not a curated record
GGUUUCAUUGUUUUAGUCGAGACAUUUCACUGCCGUCUCACUUUAACUUAACAGUAUAUCCUGACCAAACUCCAGCACAAAAUUCGUAUCAAACAUCUACCAUCCGGCAGUGUCUAGAUAAAAUUUCAACUGGUCAAUGUGUAAGCGUCACAUGGAAGCCGUAUGUUAGCCUUUGUGAUUGCUUCACAAGUGCAAAUGUAUGUGCAAUGCCAUUGGACACUUUACAGCCGGGACAACUACUUUCAAGUGACAUCGCUAUUAACAUUGACACCGCACAUUGUCGCCGAGAAGGUCAGCAGUGUACCAGUCCGGUGUGUGACGACAUGUGUAUUGUAGUAAACCAUACCCACUUCUGUGGGUGCAAAACAGGGCGGCGGUUAACGAAUGGAAGUCACUGUGAAGGUAAUUCUCUGAAACAUCAGCAUGCCAAGUAUACCCUGGUGAAUUUUCAAACAUUAACACGUACGUGUUGAUAAUAGUAGGCUUCCAAGUAACUUGGUUACUUAAUGAUAAUAUAAUGCAAUUUGAAGUAUGUUUUCAGGUACAGAUGAAUGUCAGUUUUACGCCGACUGUCAUGUUCACCAAACGUGUUUAUCAAACCACUAUUGUUAUAAUACCUGCAACCAAGGGUUCCAUCCUGUCCUAGACACAAACUCAGGCAACAAAACAUGUACGAGCAAAUGUGUCGUACCUGACAAUGCCGUGAACGCCACGCGGGAGAAGUCAAAUGUGACUUAUGUGAAUGUUGGCGAAAAAAUCUUGUAUAACUGUAUUCCAAACUUUACACUGUCGGCUGGUAGUUUAACAAGAACAUGCAUGUUUGACUUCACGUGGACUGGAGAGCCCCCAUUA